GAGUUUUGAUCCUGGCUCAGGAUGAACGCUAGCUACAGGCUUAACACAUGCAAGUCGAGGGGAAACGAUAUUGGAAGCUUGCUUCCGAUAGGCGUCGACCGGCGCACGGGUGAGUAACGCGUAUCCAACCUGCCCACCACUUGGGGAUAACCUUGCGAAAGUAAGACUAAUACCCCAAUGAUAUCUCUAGAAGACAUCUGAAAGAGAUUAAAGAUUUAUCGGUGAUGGAUGGGGAUGCGUCUGAUUAGCUUGUUGGCGGGGUAACGGCCCACCAAGGCGACGAUCAGUAGGGGUUCUGAGAGGAAGGUCCCCCACAUUGGAACUGAGACNCGGUCCAAACUCCUACGGGAGGCAGCA
RNAcentral lists this ribosomal RNA (357 nucleotides) under uncultured bacterium. Its description in RNAcentral is "bacterial SSU rRNA". It matches the Rfam family "Bacterial small subunit ribosomal RNA", at positions 9 to 353 of the family's 1533-position model. The record is from RNAcentral.